Long non-coding RNA from Coccinella septempunctata (seven-spotted ladybird), 849 nucleotides. RefSeq lists it as uncharacterized. Lineage: Eukaryota; Metazoa; Arthropoda; Insecta; Coleoptera; Coccinellidae. The record is from RefSeq and is a predicted model, not a curated record. The transcript is spliced from 2 exons.
UCCUGACCUUAAAUUACCUUGCGCUGGUCAGUGAUGCUUGUAGAAUUCUUUUUACUUCGAAGAUACUUACGAAUGACAGCACUUUAAAGACACCUUUCUACUCUAUGGCCAAAGAUCGUGAUCGUCUGGUUGUGGUAGGACUCCACAUUACGUAGGCAACCCAAAGUACUUACCCUGAUUACUAAUAGAAAAAUUGACGGGAGGUUGGGAGAUUCGAAAGAAAACAACACAUUUAAACCCAAACAAGAAACGUUUAUUUCGGGUUUCAUUGGAGACGAUCUCCAAUGUCAUAGCUCUAGGGCGCAGCAGAGGGGAGGAAAAAGAGCUGCGAGAAAACCUCCCCUUAGAACAGCAGCAAUUACAUAAUAUCCUAUACAGGUAUGAUUUUACGUAGCUACGGCAACAGGUUCAACUGGCGAGAGAAAAUCUCACGUGAAAUGCACACUUGGUGGAAUCAGUUACAUCUACAGCUAUCAGCUCCUUAAUGAUGACUCUUAACCGAUACUUCAGUGAGAUGAGUUACGUUCAGCAUACAACAGUUCUGAAUUGGGUAGGGUUCAGUUAGGGGGUUGUUGGAAGGAUUAGACUCAGAUGCAAGGGCAUCCAGCCAAAAGGGUUGGAGACGCAGUUACAAUGGUACCCGGCCUCAGGGGAGAGAGACGCAGCUGCAAGGGCAUCCGGCCUCAGAAAUCGACGCAGGUACAAGGGUACCCGGCCUGCAGGAUACUAGGAAGGGCAAAAUCCACAAAAGUUGUAUGUUUGUCCCGUAACACAAAUAUGAAUUAUUUCCGCUCCUGGCUAUCACGUUCAAAUAUGUCCUGUAUUGACCAACUCCACCAGUGAAGAGAA